The sequence is an unclassified non-coding RNA, 191 nucleotides long. It matches the Rfam family "Metazoan signal recognition particle RNA". From Rfam's summary of the family: The signal recognition particle (SRP) is a universally conserved ribonucleoprotein. The record is from Ensembl.
ACAGGGUUCAGUGGCGGCGCCUGUAAUCCAAGCUACUGGGAGGCUGAGGCUGACGGAUUGCUUGAGUUUAGGGCUUCUGGACUUUGUUGAUCACGUCUCCGUGCUAGGUUCGGUAUCGAUAUGGUGCUCCUGGAAGAGCUCAGGAUCACCAGGUCGUCUAAGGAGGGGUGAACCGGCUCAGUUCAGAGCCC